This 927-nucleotide long non-coding RNA is filed under the name Dasypus novemcinctus (nine-banded armadillo). RNAcentral describes it as "lncRNA (ENSDNOG00000051019.1)". The record is from RNAcentral. Lineage: Eukaryota; Metazoa; Chordata; Mammalia; Cingulata; Dasypodidae.
GAGGGAAGGAAUGUUGAGCUUAGAAUUCUUUUUAGGAGGUGGUAUUGGGAGAAGACUGUGUUCUUUGUGGUCUGAUGGAUCCAGACAGUAUCCUUGCUGUGUGUCUCUGGGAAAGUUAUAAACAUUUCCACGCUGAAGUCUCCUCUCCUCUAGAAUGGGCAUAAUAUUAUAUAUCUCAGGUUGCAAAGACUCCAAAAAGAUAAUGUAUAUGAAACGUUUAUUCUGUGUCAGAAAUAUAAUGGGCAUGUGUAAAAUACUAGCUGCUAUUGUUUGGAAAUAACCCCCUUAUCUCUCUUUCCCCUUUUCUUCAACCCCUGAAAGGCACCAACAUGCAAGUUCUGAAGAAGUUUCCUUGCUAUGGGUUUUAUUGAGCUCCCAAGCAUCACUUCUCAUCCAUCUAGAAUGUGUAGAAGGCAGUCAAGUUGUCUUCCUGCUGAGACUGCUCUCCAGGCCCUGCCUCUGUGCCAAAGAUGGAUUGAGUUUGACAGAUGGAAAAAGCAGCAGCAGCUUGAGUCUGGCUGCCAAAUGGGCCAGAGGAGGAAGUGAUCUGAGGGGUUGUGGCAUUGAACCGAAAGGCUAUGGACGUCGAUACAUGAAGUGAAGCCAAUGAAUGGUGACUCUCCUGAGGAAAUGGCAAUACUUUCCAACACUGAAUGAACCAUGUUGAAGGUUUGAAAAGAGAGAAAGAAGCUACUAGAAAGAUUUUGGUUUUGGCCACAUAACUUGUAUCACAGUUUAACUUGGAUAAUAGGAGUUGCAUAGUCAAGUGCUUCUACAUAAUGUGUGUCCCUACCUGACAUUUUAAAAUUAUAUAUAUUAUUUCUGACCACAAAACUAAAUUAAAAUCCUUGAAGAAAAUUAUGAAUUAAGAAUGAUGAUUUACUGAGACAUAGGUGCAGGUGGAGGAGUAAUAGACAUGCUGGUGGA